UUCCGGUUGAUCCUGCCGGAGGCUACCGCUAUUGGAGUUCGAUUAAGCCAUGCGAGUCGCGAGUCUUAGGGACUCGGCGUACCGCUCAGUAACACGUGGGUAACCUGCCCUAUGCUGGGGGAUAACCUCGGGAAACUGAGAAUAAUACCCCAUAGUUCACCACGCCUGGAACGGUGGGUGGAUCAAAGCUCCGGCGGCAUAGGAUGGGCCUGCGGCGUAUCAGGUUGUAGGGGGUGUAAUGUACCCUCUAGCCCUCUACGCGUACGGGUGUUGAGAGACAUCGCCCGGAGAUGGAUUCUGAGACACGAAUCCAGACCCUACGGGGUGCAGCAGGCGCGAAAACUUGGCAAUGCGAGAAAUCGUGACCAGGGAACUCCAAGUGCAUCGGGUAAGACCGAUGCUUUUCUUGACUCUUCAAAGGUCUUGGAAUAAGGGGUGGGUAAGGACGGUGCCAGCCGCCGCGGUAAUACCGGCGCCCCAAGUGGUAGUCGCUUUUAUUGGGCCUAAAACGUCCGUAGCCGGUCUGGUACAUUCGUGGGUAAAUCAACCAGCUCAACUGGUUGAAUUCUGCGAGCACGGCCAGACUUGGGACCGGGAGAGGUGUGGGGUACUCUCAGGGUAGGGGUAAAAUCCUGUCAUCCUGAGAGGACCACCUGUUGCGAAGGCGCCACACUAGAACGGAUCCGACGGUCAGGGACGAAGCCUAGGGGCACGAACCGGAUUAGAUACCCGGGUAGUCCUAGGUGUAAACGCUGUGGACUUGGUGUUGGGGAUGAUCCGAUCAUUCUCAGUGCCGAAGCGAAGGUGAUAAGUCCACUGCCUGGGGAGUACGGUCGCAAGGCUGAAACUUAAAGGAAUUGGCGGGGGAGCACCGCAACCUGAGGAUUGUGCGGUUUAAUUGGAUUCAACGCCGG
RNAcentral lists this ribosomal RNA (914 nucleotides) under uncultured marine archaeon. RNAcentral's name for it is "bacterial SSU rRNA". It matches the Rfam family "Archaeal small subunit ribosomal RNA", at positions 1 to 921 of the family's 1478-position model. The record is from RNAcentral.